Molecule: long non-coding RNA, 6738 nt
Filed under: Vitis vinifera (wine grape)
Lineage: Eukaryota; Viridiplantae; Streptophyta; Magnoliopsida; Vitales; Vitaceae
Description: long non-coding RNA (VVIN_LNC005872)
Source: RNAcentral
CGGCCGCCGGGACAACAAAAUUUGGUGGAAUGGGCUAAGCCAUCGCUUACCAACAAGAGAAAGCUAAAGAAAAUCAUGGACCCACGACUAAGGGACCAAUACCCAUUAAAAGCAGCAGCCCAAGCAGCCGAGCUUAUACUCAAAUGCCUGGAAUCUGAUCCCAAAAAUAGGCCAUCCAUGGAAGAGGUGCUAGAAACCUUGAAACGCAUCAAUGAAAUCAAGGAAAAACCAAAUAGCAAGGAAGUUAAAGUUGCCACGAAUCAACCUCAGCUUCACCAUCAUCGGUCUCCGUAUCACCCCAAACAUGGCGGGGCCGGCGCCGGCAUCGGAGCUCGAACUCCUCGACAUGGGCGUAUGGAUAGGAGAGGUCGACAGUUGACACCAAAGGUAGGUUGAGUGGAAAGUCUUGUAAUAUGAUAACUUUUGUUGAUGUAAAGGCCCAAUAUCAGGCCCAAUUAUUUUAUUUUGUUGGCGCUUGGUGCAUGAAACUCCUCUCCUUGUUGGAAAAGAAAAGAAAUUCCAAGUUUUUAACUUUUAGUGAUAAUGGAGACUUAAUUUCUAUUUGUGUUGACCAAAAAACGUAAAGAAGUAAAAUAGAUAAAUAAACUAUUUUGUUUUAUCUUAGUGGGACAAGGCACCUCUUGAGGGGCAAUGACAUAUUCAUGGAUCCAAAUUCAAGUCUCCCCACCCACUAUUCAAGUGGUUAAGAUAGACUAACAUACCCGUAUUACUUGAGUUUGCCUUAAUAUAAGAUAUUCUUAAUCUCAUGAUAAUUAAGUUAUUCAAACAUGAAGAUGAUGGAGAAAAAAAAUGAGAUGCUCAUUCUCACUCUUUAUUUAUGUGUCAACUUGUAUAUAUAAAUUUUACCAAAAAAAUAAAUAUGAUAUAAAGUGAUAAGGUAAGGAAGAUCAGACAUUACCUAUUUAUAUAUAUAUAUAUAUAUAUAUAUAUAUAUAUAUAUAUAUAUAUAUAUAUAUAAAAAUAGGUAUUUGCUUUUUUUUUUUUGUAAAGAAAGGAAAGCCUUGAGGUUAUUUUGCUUUUAUGUUUAAGUCUUGUUGAUAAACCUCAUUCCUUUUGUUUCUUUCCGUUCUUUUAAUCAAAUUGUCAUUGUUAUAUAGCUAUUUUGAUAAAAAUAAAUUUAAAAUUUAAAAUUUACUUUUAUUUUUUUAUAUAACUAGUAGUUUUCCCAUUCACUCAAUUACUAGCAUCAUAAUGGCAUAGAUACAUAUAUUGUUUUAAAAAUUGGCAAUUGUAAUUAAUAUCACUCAAUCACUCAAUUGUAAUUUUUUUCUCUUAAACUUAUGAGAACCAAACAUAAAAUUAUUGAGCUUAAAAAUAAAGUUUUGUGUUGCUAGAAGCCCAUCCAAACAAGGCUUUAGAUUGUUAUAGGUUCAAAGUUCAAACAUUAUUUUAUAGCCUAAAACUAAGUCUCACUCUUUGAAAGUCUGAUAAAUCAAUUCAACGGCUUAAAGUAAUUUAAUAAUUUAAUUUAAUAUAUUAAGUAGAUUAAAUAUAUUUGAUAAAAUAAUUUAAUAUCUAAGUUAAGGGCCUUUGUUUUUUAAAAUUUUUUGUUAAAGUAAUUUGCUUUUAGAUUUUAGUCGUUUAUUUUUCUGUUUUUUCAUAAUUUAUUGUAAAUUUUUUGCUAAAUAAAAAAAAUAAAAUAUUGAUUCUAUUUAUUUAUUAAUGCUUAAUAAAAUUAAAAUAUUAUAAAAACAAAUAAACUAUUACUUAAUACUAUGAAAUACUACUUAAUUUUAAGGUCAUAGAAAAAACAAGCAACAUAGUGUUAUCAAACACCCACUCUAAGUGGGACUGACUGUAAGCCCAUUCAACUCCAACUUAGGAAGCCCUUGGUUUGGACAAGCCCACACAAUCAUUGGACCCUGGUGGCCUGGCCCAUUUAAAUAUAUUAUCAAUCGAAUUACCCGGAUUAUUGGCUCACCUUCACCUGGAUCUAUAUAAAGUUAUAAACUAUUCUAAUAAGCUUGCGUGCUAAUAAUAAUUAACACGUACAACAUGCAAGCCAUAGAUUCACUGUAAACCAACUGAUCCAGUUUACAAAUAAAUAAAUAAAAACAUAGUAAUAAUAAUAUAUACAAUCCAUGUUAAGGCCCAAAUUAAAUUUAAAUACAAAAUUGGAAAAAAAAUUCCAAAAGAAAUGAAAAAUAAGUAAUUAAAAUGUAGCAAUCGAGUUUAGGAACAUGAUUCCAUAUGAUGCACGCUGACCUGCCCCUUUCCUAGAGUGCUCCUUUAUAUGAUAGAUAUAGUUUUAAAAAGUUUAAAAGUCUGCAUAUAUUUGAUGGUGGGUGGACCCUCUGGUCAUGAUGCUCUUGGAUCCCGGUGGAAAACGCCGCCGAUGCGUUUUGAUUGGUUAAUCAUGAUGCGAUGAUGGUGAAUUAUUAGCUUUCAUGGUAUUUAGAAUCGGAAGCUGUUUCUUAAGUUGGGGACUUUACGUGCUUUUUAUUUAGCAUUAAAAAAAUAAAGAAAUAUCUAAUAUAUUAAUUUUUUUAUUUUUUUUAAAAUUAAAAUAUCUAAUUUUUUAUAUUUAAUAAAAAAAUUAUAAUAAAUGAUACAAAAUAUUUUUAAUAAAAGGUUAAAAAACCAAACACGUUCAAAGUUCAAGGACUAAAUUCAUAUGAGUAAAAUAAUUAUCUUAGAGAAUAUAAUUAUUUUUAAUUUUAAUUUUUUAAAAAUUGAAAACAAAAGUGGGUGUUGAGGCCUCGCAUCCCUGUGAUCCAUGUAGUUGCUAAAUGGACGCACACUUUCAACCAAUAUUGAGUUCUGGUUCAGUCGUCACUGCAAAAGAUGUCCGGACAGGGUGUCUGCACACACCCUCCGAUGGUUUUGUCAACCAUGGUUAGAGAGAUAAAGCAGUUGACUUUUUACUAGGUAUAGCAAGCUUACCUUCUUCCUUGAAGGUUCAUAUAUAUAGUGACAGAAGCUUUGUCUCCCUCUUUAAUGGUGGGAAGACUUUUUAGCUCGUCAUGAUGCUUCUAGGUGGGGGCAGGGCCAUCAUCACCUUUAGGGCGGCUGUCAGAGAUUGUGGGAAGCGACGCGACUGUCAGAGAUCGUAUGAGGUGACUUGCCAUCAUUCCUGCCAUCUCGCUCUGCAGGUGGCGGAACGAGGGCCGUGGCAGGCUGUCGGAAUAACGUAGUAAGACUUGCUUGCUUUAGUUAAUGAUUCGGACAAACAUAUCCGGAUAGGAUAUAUCGGUCGUCCGGAUGUGAUGUUUACGAGUGUCGUGUACUUCUUCUUGAGAGAGUCGGGAAGCGCGCCACGUGUCCUCUUAGAAAAAUCCGGAUGGAACUGAUCCAAAUAGAAAUACGCGUCGUGUCAUUAGAGGGAGGGGUCCCACAUGUACAAGUGUUAUUGUAACGUGUGAUCAAUACGAGUCAGCAAGAAAGGUUGCACCCUUUUUCAUUAGGGGAAAACCCUCUACAAGGAGAAUUUUAUCACGGUACGGAUACAAUGAAUUCACUGGAACUCUACAAAAUGUGGAGUGCGUCUCCCUCGAAUACGGAUGGUGUAGAGGGGGACACCGAGAGGCAAAUGGGCCCUGCAGAACCCAGAAUUUCUCCAUGGAAAUGAGCAUGGAUUGACUUUUAAUGUUUUUUUCUUUUUUCCGCCUUAAUUCUCUUUUCAAUUUCACAUUUUUGAGAAAAUAACGUACAAAAAGGGGCUUGUGAGUUGUGACUCUUAUGAACAGGUACAGCCCACAAAAAGUCUGAACGACCCAAGACUGACUCUGACCCUCUGUAUCUCCAUCUCUCUCACUUGGUUUCUUUCCUUCAUCCUCCCUCUGUAUUACGGGGAAUCUGUUAAAUGGGAAAAAAAAAUCUAUUUCCACAUCGAUCUGCUUCUAAAUAGCUAAAAUUCAGAAAGAGAAAGCUCUGAAGCUAAAAAAGAGAGACACCACCAUCAUCCCAUCGAUAUGGGUAACUGCUGUGGAGCUCAAGCGAACGUAAACCCAGCGUCCAGAAAACCUCCCAGUCCAGGUAAUUCAACCUUCUUCUUCUUGGGUCCUUCAAUUUUCUGCGGAUUUUCCGAGAAAACCAAGGUGGGAGAAGAAGAAGUUUUUGUUCUGAUUUGAAAAACGUCGACUUAAUUCCUCAUCUUACUUUCCCUUCCUUUUACUGCAAUUUUUGAAAUGGGUUGAUCGAAGAAACCGUCUUUUAUGGGUCUUUUAGCUUUUGAUGAUGACUUUUACACAUAACUUUUAUCAGCAGAGCUGUCGAAGAAUAACAUCAAACAAGAUAAAUCGAUCAAAGAAAGAAGCGGUAGUGGCAGUGGAAAUGGCAGCUCCAAUGGUGGCGAAAAAACCGAGAUAGCUGAAACGGGGACAAUCAUAACGCCCAAUUUGAAGAUGUUCACUUUCGCAGAGCUGAAGAGCGCCACCAGAAACUUCAGACCACACACGAUGUUGGGUGAAGGAGGUUUUGGCAGGGUUUUUAAGGGAUGGGUCGAUGAAAAGACUUACGCCCCGACCAAGGUCAGCGUCGGCAUACCAGUUGCAGUGAAGAAAUCCAAUCCAGAGAGCGAACAAGGGCUCAAAGAAUGGCAGGUGAGUUGAACCAGUCAUAGAUAAAAAUAAAAAAAAAUUAUUAUAAAUUACGACAAAAAUUUUCUCUACAUAUAUUCAUAUAUUUGGUGUGUGUUUUUAGUGUCUAUUUUUAAAAUUAAAAAAAAAAUUGAAAUUUCAAACACUUUAAAAGUGAAUGGAGUACAUAAAAUCCUAAUUAUUUGAAUAUUUUGAAUUAAAUAUAUAAAAUCUAGAUUUUACAAAUUUAUUUUACAUUUUUCAUUAUUUUUCCAAUAAAAUAUAUCCAUCAAAAGACACUUUUUCCCCCUAUGUUUUUUUUUUUUUUAGAAAAAAAAAACUUAUUCUCAAAUGUGACAUAAAUCCUUAAUUUUUUUUGGUGAAUUGAUUAAAAGACCAGAGUGACAGCCCUAUAUACUUUUUAAAAAUUAUGUUCACAUGGUCAAAUGAGAAAUGAUGAAGAGAUAAUUCAAAUAAACUUUUUCCACCUUGAUUUCAAGUUUGACUUGGCUUUGUAGAUAAAUUCGAUCUGAAAGUCUUGAACGUUUCCUCUUGUAUUCCAAUAUUUUAAUUAUUUUCCAGGAAAAUCGCUUUCCCGCAUAAGCACUUAUAACCUAUUGUUAGACAAAAUUUAAAACAUCAUUUAAAAUAAUAAUUUAAUUAAAAAUACCCUUUGAAGUUAGAUAUUAAUAAAAUUAUAAACACUUUCUAAUAAUUAAAAAUUUUCACACUAAUCACUUUUUUAUCCUUGUAUUCUAUAUUUAAAAUAUUUUUAUUUUUAUUUUAUAUUCCAACGUCAUUUUAUUUUCCAAUGAAAUAUUUCUUAUAAAAAUGCCAUUAUAUUGAAAUCUCUGUAAAUUAAAAACAUUUUUAUCAAAAUUACUUCCCCAUGGCAUUUGGAUUGAAUUUGAUCAUACAAAUUUUUGGGUGCAGUCUGAGGUGAAAUUCUUGGGAAAAUUCACUCACCCCAACCUUGUGAAGCUUCUGGGUUACUGUUGCGAGGAUCAGCAAUUCCUCCUUGUUUAUGAGUACAUGCACAAGGGAAGUUUAGAGAAUCAUCUUUUCAAACGUAAGAAGCCUUUAUUUUCCUGAAUGGGAACAAUUAAUAUAGGAAGUGUUUGGCAACUGUUUUAAUGGGAACAAUUGAUAAUGCGUUGUAAUGCGGAUAUUGCAGUUGGAGGAGCAGAGUCACUUACAUGGGAAAUUCGCCUUAAAAUAGCAAUAGGAGCAGCUCGAGGUCUAGCCUUUUUACACACUUCUGAGAAGACAGUCAUCUACAGAGACUUCAAGUCCUCUAAUAUUUUGUUGGAUGGGGUAAUUAAAUAAUUCAAUUUAUUCAGUAUUGUGAUACAUUGUGUGCGUUACUAUUAUUAUUUUUUUUCUAAAUUUGAAGGGGUUUUUUAAUUAUUUUUUUUAUAGGAUUACAAUGCCAAACUUUCAGAUUUUGGGUUGGCAAAAUUAGGCCCAUCGGAUGGUGAUUCACACGUGACAACUCAAAUUGUUGGCACCUAUGGCUAUGCAGCACCAGAAUAUAUUGCCACAGGUAAAUAUCAUAUCCUUCAUACUAUAUUAAACUCGAAAAACUUAAAAUUAUUACAAUUGUAACCUAGAAAUAGCUCACUUACAUUGUCGUACGUUGUUACCUAAUAAUUUAAGUUUUUAAGUCAAAUUAUUAGCUUAAUAUUGUAUUAAAAUCUUAUUUUAAAUAGGAUAAUCAGGUUAAGGCCUAUUAGGAAGUGAUAGUUUAACAUUACUGUUUGUUUGGAUAGGUCAUCUGUACGUGAAAAGCGACGUAUAUGGUUUUGGAGUAGUUCUAUUGGAAAUGCUGACAGGCAAACAGACCCUUGACAUAAACCGACCACCGGGGCAACUGAAUUUGGUGGAAUGGACUAAGCCAUUGCUCCCUAACAAGAGAAAGCUAAAGAAAAUCAUGGACCCACGGCUAAGGGACCAAUACCCAUUAAAAGCAGCAACCCAAGUAGCCGAGCUUAUACUCAAAUGCCUAGAAUCUGAUCCCAAAAAUAGGCCAUCCAUGGAAGAGGUAUUAGAAACCUUGAAACGCAUCAAUGAAAUCAAGGAAAAACCAAAUAGCAAAGAAGCUAAAGCCGCCACGACUCAACCUCAGCCUCACCAUCAUCGGUCUCCGCAUCGCCCAAAACAUGGCGGCACUGGCGCCGGCAUCGGAGCUCGUACUCCUCCA